CUGUGCAAAAAACAACUGAGGAUCCAGUAAUAAUUGCUGAGUUGGUUGGUGGAUAUGGUAAUGGUGAUGAAAAUACUGAUGAGGUUACUCAAGAGGUAGCUGACGUUAAAGACGUUAACCUUUCAGACUCUUCUCAGGUGUCUGCUGAACGAACUUCAAGGUUGUUUUGUGAUCUGUUGGAAGGA
This is a long non-coding RNA of Helianthus annuus (common sunflower), 185 nucleotides long. RefSeq lists it as uncharacterized. NCBI's taxonomy places the organism in Eukaryota, Viridiplantae, Streptophyta, Magnoliopsida, Asterales, Asteraceae. The transcript has 3 exons. The record is from RefSeq and is a predicted model, not a curated record.